Molecule: long non-coding RNA, 6226 nt
Filed under: Sus scrofa (pig)
Lineage: Eukaryota; Metazoa; Chordata; Mammalia; Artiodactyla; Suidae
Description: lncRNA (ENSSSCG00000055230.1)
Source: RNAcentral
GUGAUUAUGAUGUUUCAGUGUAGGUUCACCAGUUAUAAUAAAUGGACCACUCUACUCGGGGAGGUUGAUAAUGGAGUGUUAUGAAUAUGAGGGGCAGGGAUUUGUGGGAAGAUCUCUCUACCUUCUGCUUUGAUACAGGGAAUGUAUCUGGACUUUAUGUUCCUUCCCAAGAGCUCUUCUCAUUAAGGGUUUAUCCUUAGGUUGACGUGGUGAAAUAUGUUGUCUAUUUUAUCUCAUUUCACUUUUGCUUCUUUUAUUUAUUUUUUAUUUUUUUGUCUUUUUGCCUUUUCUAGGGCCGCUCCCACAGCAUAUGGAGUUUCCCAGGCUAGGGGUCUAAUGGGAGCUGUAGCUGCCAGCUCUAGCUGCCACAGCUACAGCAACGCGGGAUAUGAGCUGCAUCUGCGACCUACACCACAGCUCACGGCACGCCAGAUCCUUAACCCACUGAGCAAGGCCAGGGAUGGAACCCGCAACCUCAUGGUUCCUAGUCGGAUUCGUUAACCACUGUGCCACAAUGGGAGCUCCACUUUUACCUCUUAGAAAAUGCUUUAUAAAAAUAUUCAAGAGGCGACUUAAUGUAGCAGAAUAAAGACUAGAUUGAGAUAAAGAGAUAUAAAUUCUAGUCUAGACUAUCAUUUACUAAAUAUGGGAUCUGGAGUAUAUCGCUUGAAAUUUUAGGAGCUUGGUUUCUUCACAUAUAAAAUGAAGAUAAUGCUAUGUUAUCUUUAUAUAUUUCAUAAGAUCAUCUGUGUUAUUAUGGGAAUUAAAUUUUUAAAGCAUAAAACAGUACAUAAAUACUACGUGAUGGCAGCAGUGGUAUUGUUAGCAAUUUUAUAAACAUAUGUUUUCAUUUUGGCCAAAUUAGCUAAAUACUGUUAGUGAGCAAGAAACAGAACCAAAAACCAAACCAAAACAACAAAAAAACCCACUAAGCAAUCUCUGUUUUAUUUAGUUUACCAUUUUAAAAAGAAAAUGAAACAAAGGUUUUCAAAAGGCCUCAGCUUUUAUAUUCUUCCUUAAAUAUAAAUUUAACUCAUUUGAGAUUAAGUGCUAGCAUAACAUAUUUUUAAUUGACAGGAUCAUUUUGAUUUAUUAAUAUAGAAAAGCUAUUCCAAAACAUCAUUACUGUUUAAAAAGAGAAGAAGCAAAGGCCCUAGCUUUUCAGUUUUAAAAGGAAAGCCCUGUGUCUCUGGAGACAGAGUCUUGGGUUUGGAGUAUGAUUCCAGGACUUAGUACCUCUGUGACCUCUAGCGGGAAACAUGAUGAUGCUGUUUCAAUAAUUUUCUUACACAUAAAUUUUACAUGCCUCUUUUAUAUAUAUCCCAAUUAUAACCUCUUGCAUUUCAAACUGAGAAAUGUGUUGUAGUGGUGGCACCAUAUAAAAAUAAAUUGCAUGGUUAUGCAGUUUGGGUGUGUGGACACAAAUGAUUUUAGGAGGAGGAUUAAAAGUCAUUACAGGAAAAGAAGGCAAUGCCAGGUCAUCUAUAUUCUGCCCUCGAUCACCUAUUCCUGCUUUGUACCUCAGAAGUAUUUGUUCGCCUAUAUUUUGCUUUCUAUACCUAACAUGGAGACUUUCUGAAUACAUCCUAUGGGAUAAAAGAUUCCAAAUUGUCACUUUAAAACAAAGUUUAAUAUCGUGUAAGAGUCUCUCAAAAAAGCAGGUUUCGAUUGUGUAUAGUCUUUAUCUUUUCCACGGAAAGCCUUUCUAGAGCUUGUAGUUACUCUAUGUCUGUUGUAUGAAAGGCAUUAUGCAAGGACUGGGUGUAUUAUGCUGGAUUAAUAUAUAGGAUUUCAAGGACUAAUUAAAAAUCACAUUUGGUUAAUGGUUUCUUUAUAUUUAAGAUCACUUCAGACUCAUGAUUAUUAAGACAAUUUUUUUUUCAUUUUACAAUACCAGGCUAAAUCACAUAAAUAAUCAUUUGGAAAUGCAAAUACAGCAACAUUUCAAUAAAAUGUGCCCAUCCUGAGUGACGGUUAAAGUGUAUUUUCCUGGAAUUCUAAGACAUGUCUUCUGCUUUCAUAUUUGACUUACACUUUAAUCCCCCUCCACAGAUGGCCCCCACACACCCUGGCAUGACCAAAAGUCUACCUAUUUGGUCACUUUUAAUAGGCAUUUGGAUCUUUAAUGACUCUGACACAAUUCAUCUGCUACAAUUUACUAACUCUAUUGGUCUUGAAAACCAAGUUCAAGGUCAGAAUGAAGACAUUUUAUACUUUUAAACAGUAGAGUUGACUGCUAAAUACUCAGGUAUUGUUGAGAGUCUAGGGAUCCUAAGUAUCUUGGGGACUGUGUAAAAGAGUUUAGGAUAACCUUUAUUUUCUCACCUAAGUGGGAAGGGAUCAUAGGGUUGUUUCUAACUUGAGGUAGACCUGUAAUGAUGCUAUGCCAAUGGAUAAGAGGUGGAACAGGCCGUUCUGACCUACAUCCACCAUCCCUUUUGGGCAUCUCAGCCCCUUUAUUCUGAAUAUAUUUAGGGACAUGUUCCCAAGACACUGGAAUAAAAUGCCUGGCUUGUUCUCCUCUUCCAUUUCUUCAUUCCAAAAGAGACGGUCUUUUUCUGCCAUCCCUUCUCUCUUUUCUCUUUCCCAUCCCAAGCAACUCUUUCUAAUUCAUACUAACCAAACCUAUUCCCCACUGCCUACUCUGAGUUACUUUGGGCUCUUGGGCGUCAGUAUCACAGUGGGAAGACUGUUUUACAAAUAAAUCUGCCUUAAAUGGGAAUAUGCAUUUGUGUAGAGUUUAGGAAAUUUAGGAAAGCAUUAUAACUUACUGGUACUGUGACCAAUUGUAUAAUCAUGUACAAGGAAUUAUUAAUUUUCAGGUGGAUAUGGAGACACAACUUAAGAAACAUUUGUGCCUUAGAAUAUAUAAUGUAUAAUUUUAUCGAAGAAAAAGAGGGGCAUUGAAGAAAAUUUUGAACAAAGCUUAUAAAUUAAUAAAAAACCCAACAGUUUAGACAUCUACCUGAUUAAUCCACCAGAUUAAUGUAAUUAAUAGUUUCCAGUCUUUAUAAGAAUUUGUACAACUUCUAGUUCGUACAACUUCUAGUUCAAAUUUGAUCCAACAUGACCAUAAUGGGUCUCAUUUGUAUAAGGCUUAAGAGUUUAUCAACACUUUUGGUCUUUUACUUAUUUCAAGCCAGAUAAUCACUUGUUAAAUUGCAUAUUUUCUUUAUUUUGUAAAAGUAACAUUUUUGCAAAGAAAGAUGAGAUAAAUUGACCAAGUCCAGCAUGGAUACAAAAUUUAAGUUUUCUCUUGGCCCUUGAGUAGAUAUAUUUUUCUAUUACGGCAGAUUUGGCAACUAUGGAUUUUAGAAUCUCACUGUACAAGAACACUUUUGAAACUCCAUGGCAACCUUUAAAAAUUCAUUUGAUUUUUACCUCUUUCUUCUAAGAUAGAAGCUGUUUUCACUAGGGAGUUAUAAUAUCACUUAAAAUCAGCCUAUCUGUGCAAUACCUGUCUUCAAUUGUCUGUAAUGAUCCUGUCUUUUGUAGACAAAGGUGAUCAUUCCUAUGCAGUAAAUUUUGCCUUUAGAAUUAAAUUUAGAAAUUGAAUCAUUUUUAUGACAAAUAUGAUGUUGGAGAAGUUACACAACAUUUCUCUCUGGUGUAGUCUCCUCAUCUGUGAGAAUUUAUUAAGUGUUGCUGCCUCAAAGACUGUAAAAGACUAUGAAGAUUAGAAGACCUGAAAGACAUGGAAAGGCCAAGCCCAGUACCUGGCAUAGAGUGGAAUCUGGUUUUCGGCUGCACCUAUGGCAUGCAGAAUUUCCCGGGCCAGGGUCGGAAGCCAUUCCACAGCUGUGAGCAGAGCUGCAGCAGUGACAACAUUGGAUCCUUAACUGCUAGGCCACUGAGGAACUCCAGAGUAGAUUUUUAAUAAAUAUCAUGUUUUACUUUCAUGUCCCUUUAUUCAUGGGGAUUUCAUACUGUUCAGCCUUUUAAGUAUGGAGUAACUAUUGGUGGCACACUUUAAGCUUUUAAAACUCUCAAAAUAAUAGUAUAUCAGCAAUCUUUACACCAAGACCAGUAUGGUGUCUGUAUGUGAAGUAUGUGAAAUUAUUACAACAUUAAUUAUCGAUGUAGAAUCUCUAACUUCGUAAGUAUAUCUUAGUCAAAAUGUCAGUUCAUGCAUGUUUUCCUUGUUGCCAGGCCGAUGAUGUACAGUGUGUUGUAUUUCUAAAGAGGAAGUGUUUAGCUCUAAAAUUUCUAGGAGUCUGCUCAGUUCAAUAAUCUAAUGCCAUCACCCCUUUUAUCAUCAUCAUCAUUAUGUCAUCCUUCUCCUUCUCCUUGUCAUCAUUUCUAACAUGUACUGACUGUUUACCACCUGCAGGCCCUUUAAUAAAUUUCCUAUAUGAAUUUCCUUAUUAUUCCUCAGCACCAUCCUUAGAAGGAUUCUGUUAUUAACCUCAUAGUAUAAAUAAGAGUAACAAGUUUUAGUGUUGUUAGGCAGUUCGUCCAAGGCAAAAGCCAGUAGAUACUGGAGUGAAAAUUAGAAUAUAGGCAGCCUUAUUUAGGAGACUCUUAUGCUUUUAUGCCUUUGUUAGGUUAUAAUGUUAAAAUUUAUAGGCAGUAAUGGCAAAAAUACAUUUUACUUAUUGAUCAACAUUUUGGAAAUAAGUGUGAAAGUGUAAGCUCAGUUAAUUAUUCCCUCAGAUACAAUAUUAUGUCUGAGAGGUGUAUGUGGGGAACAGGUAGUUAGGACAGGCUGAAAUACCCAAUGUCAGAGAGCAUUUCAGUAACAAGGAUUGAGGGGAUUCAAGGAUUCUUCAGAAUAAAACUUUAGCAUGCCUUGAAGUAAUAUACUUAGAAAAUAUUUUAAAUCUCCAGAUCAUGAAAUGUGAAAUGCAGCAUUUCUUUUUUAUACUGUCAGGAUCUCUAUUUGUUUCAGGUGUAUUGUUAUUCAUGUAUGCCAUUCCACUCAAUGGGAGUAUAAGCCCUUCUAGGAUAGGGACUGAAAUUUCUGCUGUUUCUGGGUGUUAAACAGCCAGUCAGUGCUAUGUGUGCAGUGCCGGCUCUGAUACAAAGGAAAGGACUUUGGAUUUUACGUUAGAAAACCAGAUCUUAACGCUCAGCCCUGGAUCUUAUUACCACUAUUACCUUAGGCAUGCUACUUUCUUUGAAAUUCUAAAAUAGGGGGAUAGGGGUGGUAGUCAAAAGAGGGACUUGACAAAUAUAAGGUAGGAAACUGCUGUGUCAGAAGUUUAUGAGCCAACUUUCAGUCACUCUUUUAAAAAGUUCAAAUUAUGCAAUACUGCUAUUCUCCCAAACAUCCAAAUAGCAAAUAUUGUAAACCAUGGUUUAUUUAACACUGUGAUAGAACAUUUUAUGUCUAACAGUUUAUACUGUUUAACAUUGACUAAGCUAUUUCUAUAUUCUAGGUGCUUAGUUUUAAAUACACAGUACCACUUAAUCCUUAGAACAAAGCUUUGAGAUAAGUAGUAGUAUUCUCAAUUUGCCGAGGUAAAAAGUGACAUCUUAUCAUCUGUUAAUCAACCUGUUCCAUAAUAUAAAGGUAGUAAGUGGCAGGAAGUUUCAGUUGUUUAACAUGUUUAUGAAUUAGCACAUUAAUGGCCCAAUUAGGGAAAAAUAUAUCAAUUUUUAUUAGGAAGUGUGCUCUGAAGUUUAAGCAGUGGAUUUUUGAAACCAUGAAUUACUUCCUAGAUGUAAUUCUUCCCAAGACAGGCUACAUCAUUAGCUGGGCCCAGUGCAAAAUGAAAAUGCAGAGCCUCUUGUUCAAAUCUUAUUGGAGUUCCUGUUGUGGCCUGGUAGAAACAAAUCCAACUAGUAUCCAUGAGGAUGUAGGUUUGGUCCCUGCCCUCGCUCAGUGGAUCAGGGAUCUGGCAUUGCCAUGAGCUGUGGUGGAGUUUGCAGACAUGGCUUGGAUCACGUGUGGCUGUGGCUGUGGCAUAGGCCAGCAGCUGUAGCUUUGAUUCGAUCCCUAGCCUGGGGAUUUCAUAUGCCAAGGGUGUGACCCUAAAAAGUAAAAAACAAACAAACAAACAAAAAGUAUAUAUAUAUAUAUUGACAACAUCAAGACGGAUUGAGGUAUAUGGAAUGAUGUGCAAUGGGGACCUGCUGUAUAGCAUGGAUAACUCUAACCAAUAUUCUGUGGUAAUGUAUGUGGGAAAAGAAUCUGAAAAAACAGCUGUGUACAUGUACAACUGAAUCACUUGGUUGUACAGCAGAAAUUAACACAACAUUGUAAGUCAACUAUACUUCAACAAAC